UCCAAAUGCUUUCAUACCAUACACACUAUAUGCAUUGAUAUGCCCUAUGUCUAAAUGCAUAUGUAGCUCAUAGUCUGUAUCCAUUUGUUUAGGUGCAUAUGCAGCAGUCAUAUACACUUGCAUAUUCUAAAAUAGAUUAAUUCAAUAUAUAGUCUAACACUUGCAUACGUAUCCAGAAGUAUUUGUGGAAGCCAUGUACAUGCGGACAUGCAUCAAGGUGUAUACCCAUAUCAGGUCCUUGGGAAGCCAUGUGAUUUCCCAGUACUGAGCUAUGGAAACCUCUCAUAUGGCUGCUUUAGAGGUGCGGUCUUCUACUGGGGAAGAAGAUAGCUAAUAAUGCCCGAGGAACUUUUCAUUUGAAUAUCGGUUCCUUGGUGAAAUUGGAUGGUUUAUGAUUUGAUUACAUAACCCAAGGGACAUGCAAGAAUAAUGUUUAGGACAAGUACAAUUCUGACCCUAAAAAUCACGUGACUUUGGGUCACAUAAUUUAGGAAAUUUACAUUUUUACAAGUCCCUUCCUUAUGCCAAUUUGGGGAUGCAAAUUAGGGCUCAAACUAGGACAGAUUUAACGGAAUCCCAGAAAAGGGAAUUCAGUGCAUCCAAACUAUAUAAGGGAGGAUCUCAGGGACUUACCUGUCAUUUUAAAAAAGGAGCUCAUCCAGUGGCUUCCCUUCCCCAGAUAAAGUAGUGGUACCUGAAGAUCUAAAGAUUGGGCAGCCAUGAUUUACUUUAUAUGGUUGCCCUUCAAGCAUGCAGAGGGUGUAAACACCUUAGCAUCCUGUACUUCUUCCCUCUUUGCUCCAUGUCUCCCUGGUGUGAGGUUUUGAGUUUCUAUUCCCUGUCAUUGUCAUAAGCCUUUAAUUCUCAUACCACUUUUUUUCUCUUCUUUGCCAUUGUAUGCUCUUUUGCUUAUUUAUUUCCCCUUUUGGUCAAUGUGCCAUUCAGUACAUCACACCCUGCACUACUAUCCCAAGCCAUUACUAGUCCUUUUUGCAUAGGAAAAGUGUCUGAACACCAAAAUUCACUGCAUGGCCCAAAUGCCUUAGGAAUGUCACACACCAUCAUCCCCUAGAUCAGUUUGAUUGCUCCAUCUGCAGCAUUACUAGAUCUACAUGGAUAGUUGGAAUCUCCGCUUGGGCCUCCUACACACAGGCGUUUUAUUAUGCAGUUUCUUGCAGUUGACCUUUCAUGGGUUCCACCACAAUAAACCACACAGACUGUUUUUAUCAAUGAGGUUGCACUCGCUCUGCCUCAGAGUGCAGGUUGAACUUGAUGUGUUCCACUUGGGUUUCAUGCUUCCCUGCGGCAGAGUGAGUGCAACCACAUCGCAUUUCUUCCUACAUUCAUCUGCAGUGGAAUGCAUCAAGGCUCCACCACAAGGGAACAUACGAAGUGUUGCCUGUGUGUAAGAGCCCUAAUAGGAAGCAGCUGGUGGAACGCAGGUUUGUUUUUAGAGCGCUAUAAACAGAAUAUUGGUAAAUUACCUGUGCACAUCCCCAAAAACAUGUGCUAUACAAAAUCCAUUUGUGUCUUAUAUGAUUUAACAGCUAAUCAUGUUUGCACUCUAAAUUAAUUGAUUAAAUGGCAUUUGUGCAUGGCUAAUGUAUCCUCUUUUUUUCACAUCUCACAGUCAGCAUGAGGAAUCCUGCAAAUAAACCUUCUCUUCUGCCUCAAACUGAAACAAUGCUGCUGGAAACCUGGCUUCAGGAGUGAAUGGAGACUGAAGGAAACAAUGCUGAGCUGAGGACAAGGUUUUUACAUUACAUGUUCCUGACCACACAAGUUGUGUUAAGGUGUGAAAUCAGUUGUAUUUGUGCUCCCUCAAGAAUACUGGUGUGCUAUGCAGAGAAUUGCAAAAGCCCUGUAUUGUACCACCAGAGGGCUUCGAAGCAUCAUGAGCCAGAGGGAUCUCGCAGUUUAUCUGAGGCACACUGACCAGAAGGAAUCCACCCCGGAUUUGAAGGAGAUUUCUCUUCACUCAGUGGGGCUCUGAGAACUGGGCUGACACGCAGAAAAGAACUGGACUGACACACAGAUCCUUUCGCACAGCUGGCGGAACCGCCACUCGUGAUAUGAAGAAUAUUUCAGAUUCUAUAUCAAGAUAAAUAGGAAACACUUUUUUGGUCCGUUUUUUUUUUUUUUGCCUCGCUUUAAAAGAGCAGUUGUUGUUUUCUCUCAGCAGUCAUUAAUAUUUAUUAGUACUGCCUUUAUUGUCCAGCAAACUGUCAAACUUAUAGAUCUUCAGCUGUUGUAAACUACCAUUCCCAUCAUCCUCAUCUAAGCAUGUUUAGGAGUGUUGUAUUGAUCUUGCAUAUGCAUUAGACUACUAUUAUAGAUUGUAAGCUCUUUUGGGCAGGGUCCUCUUCACCUCUUGUAUCAUUUAUUGUUUGGAUGUAAUUCUGUAUGUCUAAUGUAUAAACCCACUUAUUGUACAGCGCUGCGGAAUAUGUUUGUGCUUUAUAAAUACAUGUUAAUAAUAAUACUAUUCCCAGGAUCUCUAGUGAGGGAGGCAUUUUAUCUUAUGUCUUUUGUGGAAUGCAGGGAUGCCAAACUGGUCACUCACUAACUCAUUCUGACUGCCACCUCACUUAGUAUCUAGAAGGGUAUGCAAAAAUAUUAUAAUAAUAAUAUUGUGAAAAAAAUAUAAUAUUCUCUUAUAUAUUUAUCUCGCUGUGUGUGAGAAACUAUCACUCUGUGGCCAUUGUUUGGCAGUUCUUUGUCCUUUCCCAAUGAUCUUGCAGCAAGUGAUUUCAGAAUGUGCCCUCUUGGCACUGGUACAGAAGCACCUUACCACCACUGAUUUAUGAGAGGCACACCUGCCAGUCCCAAGUCAGAUUUGACCCUUUCAUCCUACAGGAAUGCUAUCUAUGUACAAUGUUGCAUACUUAGCCAUUUGUUUAGUUGUCUGCAGAGAUAUUUGGUAUAAUCUUAGUUAUUUAGGUUAUUUUCAUGUUUCCACAGUACAAAUAAAGGAGGGUUUCAGAGGUUAUUUUAUUAUUUUGCAACUAUUGAAAUAAAUCUGAAAUAAAAGCCAAAUGCUUAUUACAUUUUUAUGAAUUUAUUUGUUGUUCCUGAUUCCUAUUGUACUUUACAUUUUGUUAUUACUAAUAUACAGACCGAAAUAUAAAAUAACUGUCUGGUAGGAAAAUAGACAAAGGAGAUUGGGCAGUAAUGAUUUCUUUUCAUGCAGUACAAAGGAGAAGUAAACGUUUUAGGAAUCUCCAGCAAUCUCACAUUAUCCUAAUUCACAACACUGUGUUUCAUAAACCCUUUUCUAAUUAAAAAAUGUGAAUCCUG
Xenopus tropicalis (tropical clawed frog) is the source of this 3297-nucleotide long non-coding RNA. RefSeq lists it as uncharacterized. The record is from RefSeq and is a predicted model, not a curated record. The transcript is spliced from 5 exons. Lineage: Eukaryota; Metazoa; Chordata; Amphibia; Anura; Pipidae.